This 212-nucleotide long non-coding RNA is filed under the name Lathyrus oleraceus (garden pea). RNAcentral's name for it is "Pisum sativum (pea) long non-coding RNA (PSAT_LNC014322)". Lineage: Eukaryota; Viridiplantae; Streptophyta; Magnoliopsida; Fabales; Fabaceae. The record is from RNAcentral.
UUCGCUGUGGACUCGCUGGAGCUUCGCCUAGCGAGUGAGUGCUAGCUGUGUUUUUCACCAAAACAGAAUGAGUUCGCUAUUACCUUCGCCUUGAGCUCGCCUAGCGAAUUAAUUUACCAAUUUCCUGGAGCUGUUCGCCUUGAGCUCGCCUAGCGAACCAGAGCUUCGCCACUGCCUCGCCUAGCGAGCAAGGCAGAAGAAGUGUUUAUGCA